This 83-nucleotide transfer RNA is filed under the name Streptosporangium sandarakinum. Its description in RNAcentral is "tRNA-OTHER". The record is from RNAcentral. Lineage: Bacteria; Bacillati; Actinomycetota; Actinomycetes; Streptosporangiales; Streptosporangiaceae.
UGCCCAGCUCAGGGUUCCAGUAGGCCAUGAUCGAUGCAGUUCCCAAGCUGACAGCGCGGGUUCGAUUCCCGUCAUCCGCUCCA